This 484-nucleotide ribosomal RNA is filed under the name uncultured bacterium. RNAcentral's name for it is "partial 16S ribosomal RNA". It matches the Rfam family "Bacterial small subunit ribosomal RNA", at positions 30 to 507 of the family's 1533-position model. The record is from RNAcentral.
AUUGAACGCUGGCGGCAGGCCUAACACAUGCAAGUCGAGCGGAUGAAGGGAGCUUGCUCCUGGAUUCAGCGGCGGACGGGUGAGUAAUGCCUAGGAAUCUGCCUGGUAGUGGGGGAUAACGUCCGGAAACGGGCGCUAAUACCGCAUACGUCCUGAGGGAGAAAGUGGGGGAUCUUCGGACCUCACGCUAUCAGAUGAGCCUAGGUCGGAUUAGCUAGUUGGUGGGGUAAAGGCCUACCAAGGCGACGAUCCGUAACUGGUCUGAGAGGAUGAUCAGUCACACUGGAACUGAGACACGGUCCAGACUCCUACGGGAGGCAGCAGUGGGGAAUAUUGGACAAUGGGCGAAAGCCUGAUCCAGCCAUGCCGCGUGUGUGAAGAAGGUCUUCGGAUUGUAAAGCACUUUAAGUCGGGAGGAAGGGCAGUAAGUUAAUACCUUGCUGUUUUGACGUUACCGACAGAAUAAGCACCGGCUAACUUCGUG